GGUCUUAUAUUUAAAAUAUAAUAUUAAAUUGCAAGUUUAAAGGUGAAUUAAAUUCUAAGGCUU
Molecule: transfer RNA, 63 nt
Filed under: Haplosialis sp.
Lineage: Eukaryota; Metazoa; Arthropoda; Insecta; Megaloptera; Sialidae
Description: tRNA-Cys
Source: RNAcentral